AUCGUCAAGAGCAAAGUUUCCUGUCGCGUGGUUGUGUUUCCUCUCUGGCCAAUGCAUCCGUCCGUAUCUACAGACAGUCUAUAUGUUCCCGGAAUGUGUUCAGCUCCCCAGUGUAGGGCACCAGGCAUCCUACCAAGGCGAAUCCGGGACCCCGGGUGCGCCGUCUGGGUCCCCCUGCCCAGCCUUGCACUGCCGGGCUGUAGACUGCUCAGCCGUCCUCCUGGAGACAGAUGGAAGCUCCUUGGGUCGACGGAUUACAGCUUCUGCAGCAGCUGGAGCCCCCUACUCCCCUCAACUCCGUGGUGGGUUCCCACUCUCCAGGGACAGGAUGUCUGAGAAUAAUAGCCUGGAUCUAAAGUGGCUAUAAGAGUUGUCUCCAUUUUGCUAGACUGACGGACCACGUUGUUUCCAGAGUGAGGAUUGUGCCCUCCUCGGGGGUGCAGUUUCUUCAAUUAUAGUUGGAAGUAUGUGAAGUGCCAGGAGAGACAGUCCACUCCAGAGCGCCAUGCCCUGACGUGCCUUUGAGCAGCCAGCGCUUCGGAUUGGAUCAUCAAGGUGUCUCCGGAGAGCUCCGGUCUCCUCCAGAGAAGAAGUGGGUCCUCUGGCAGCUCAGGAGGCCAUAACAGUGACAGAAGUGCAUCCAUGUGUGCCUUGCCGCUUCCCUGGAAAGCAGGGGCUCAGCCUAGACACUGUUGCCUUGAGCCCUAGCUGGUGCCCAGAUUCUACUGAUUGUCACUUGAUCUCUGCCGCAUGUGCUGAACAGUCCUCAGCUUUCUAGAAGAGGCUGAACAGCCCUUUAUUCAUGAAGAUGUUUGUGGACACCAGAGGACCAAAGACCACGCUCAAAGUGACCCUGGAGACUGUUCCCUCAGCAUCACGAACCAGCUUUUUACUGUGCUUAGUCACUGCCUCAUGCAUGGGAGACUCUAGCACAGUCUUGACACUAAGACCUCAGAGGGCUGUGUUCUGUGUCAGUGCCUGGAGUGAUUAGUGACAAGAACUUAUAGCCAACUUCCUGUUACCUCCCUAACAGCUAUGCAAUAAACUUUAUAGGUUAAUUCAG
Long non-coding RNA from Apodemus sylvaticus (European woodmouse), 1063 nucleotides. RefSeq lists it as uncharacterized. The transcript is spliced from 7 exons. The record is from RefSeq and is a predicted model, not a curated record. NCBI's taxonomy places the organism in Eukaryota, Metazoa, Chordata, Mammalia, Rodentia, Muridae.